RNAcentral lists this ribosomal RNA (497 nucleotides) under uncultured bacterium. RNAcentral's name for it is "partial 16S ribosomal RNA". It matches the Rfam family "Bacterial small subunit ribosomal RNA", at positions 28 to 507 of the family's 1533-position model. The record is from RNAcentral.
GAUGAACGCUGGCGGCGUGCCUAAUACAUGCAAGUAGAACGCUAAAGGAAGGAGCUUGCUCUUUCCGGAUGAGUUGCGAACGGGCGAGUAACGCGUAGGUAACCUGCCUGGUAGCGGGGGAUAACUAUUGGAAACGGUAGCUAAUACCGCAUAACAGGAGAUGUUGCAUGAUACCUACUUAAAAGGUGCAAUUGCAGCACUACCAGACGGACCUCCGUUUUAUUAGCUAGGUGGUGAGGUAACGGCCCACCAAGGCGGAGAUACCUAGCCGAGCUGAGAGGGUGGUCGGCCCACCUGGGACUGGGACCACGCCCCGACCUCCUACGGGGGCAGCCGUAGGGGAACUUCGGACAUGGGCGGAAGUCUGGACGCGGCACGCCCCGUGGGUGAAGAAGGUUUUCGGGUCGUAAAGCUCUGUUGUUAGGGAAGAAAGAGUGUCAGAGUGGAAAGUUCACAUUGUGACGGUAUCUUACCAGAAAGCGCCGGCUAACUACGUG